GUUGAAGUUCUCAGUUUGAAGGAUUUACCCAGCAAAAAACUUGAGGAAAUAACAGGUGCUGCAUAAGUUACCCUACCUGCCUGCAUGAUGUUGGAGUUUUGGGCUCCUAAGAACUGGAGUCAUGGAGGCCAUCAAACUGGUUCAGGUAAGAGAGGGAUAUAUUAUCUGUGAAAGUCUGGCCGUCACAUAAAUUAAUCUGCCUUUGAAAAGUGACACCAAAUGUUAUCAACAAAGCUAAAAGUGUGGGUGGAUCUAUUUCCACUUCAAGUGUUGCCUUUUAAUCACAAAUGCCAUUCAGCUGUGCAUUGAGUUUAAGCUCUGUGCAAAUCCCUCAGAUGUACGAGAACUACAGUUUGUUUAAAGUGAAAUCCCUGAGAACUCUAUGAGGUGGAAAUCUCUGCAGAACUUUGCUCCAAAUUCAUUUAGUGCUGUGGAAAACACCCCUAUGUCUGAGCAGCAGUCAGCAAAUAUGGAACAAAUGGCCUGGGAUUCUUAUCUUUCAAACCCUAGCAGCUCACACAGACCAUAAAGAUAUCAUGGACUCCAGGAGGAGAGCACAGCUGAUAUGCAAAGGUGGAGGGGAAGCAGGGAACUUAACAGAAGAGAAGAAUGAACACUACAAACUCCUUAUCAUCCAAUGUUAACUUCACAUUCUUACCUAGCAUAUUGAAGAAAUGGACAGAGUCAUCAUUCUAACUUUCCCUAGGGAAACACAGAAGCUGUUUCCAGCAUGUUGAAUCUGGGCUGGUUCCAGACUGUCCCAGAUCUUGUAGAACAGUUUGUGUUAACAUUGCCAAAAAGUGGCAGUUUCCAAAGCCAGGAGAUGCCAAGCACUGAGACCACACAUAUGAACUCUUUAUUCAUUGCUGUUUGUGUUGAUCUUCAAUAAAAAGAAAAGAAGCUAAGAUAAAAUUGAAUACAAGAGAGGUUUUGAUGUUGCCUAUAAUAAAGCCAUUUCAUUUGGUAUUGAUGGGUCAUCAGUGAAUUAGAGAAGGAGUACAAAAAAUGCACAACUGGUCUUGCAGUUUACUGUUCUAGUGCUGACAGACACCUUGAAGUACAGAAGAGCCAAAAAUCUACUUAAUACACCUAACAGCAUCUAAUAACAAUGGGCUAUGUAGCAUGAUCCCAAGUUCUUAUUUGUCAACUGAAUGAGACAGUCUUUCUCUGAUUCUACCUCCAGGAAACUUCUACUUGGACGACUUUCAGUUCUGAUGGUUAGGCUGCCUUCUCUAUUUUUUGCCACUUUAUUUGUGACUAGGUUGCACCCAUCUGUCAUUAUGUUACUUUCUGUUUAAGUAAUUCUUCUCCCUGUGGUGUUGCAGACAUUUCCCAUGCUUGUGACAUGGCUUCUCUGUCCUCCUGGUCAUCCUGCCAUUUGUUCUAAAUGUUAUGUGCACAACGUAGAAAUCCUAAGUGCAAAGUGCUGACUAGAAAGGGUUAGAGCAGGCUGGAACAAGUUAGGAGAGAGGUACAGCAAGGUGUAUUAUACCAGAACAACAGCACUGAUGAUUGCCAGGCUAUCUGUCAAUAUCCAGCCGUCUCUCUCUUUCUUUUGGUAGGCAUGUAAAUGCAUCCUGGAGCUGCAUUGGCAUGCAUCACCCUGGCUUCUCAUGGUCAGCCAGUGAUUACUUGGCUCUUCCAAGACAUAACACUUUUCUGUGUGUUUCCAACAGAUAAGAGUGUAUGUAUAGAAAAAAAAUAAAAUAAAAUAAAAUAAAAUAAAAAUCAGUUUUGUUUCACUUUAUAUAAGACAAUUGCCAAAAUCUUUCCUUUAUUUUUUUUUUUUUUCUUCUCCCCAUGUUCUUCAUUAUUGGCAAGCUGUUUUUACAACUCCUCUAAUGUCAGGGAUCCAAAAUUCUGUAGUGUGUGUUUAAUCAAUGUAAUCCUUGCUUCUGAAUGGCUUUUCUCUAUGAACAUCCAUGUGCCUUUCAAAUGUUUUUUAGAAGAAUGAAUUAUGUUAGUUUUCCAGCUAGUCAAAAGUACUGAAUCCUUUAGACUUCUGCUCCUGAAGUCUGAGUAUAGCAGCUGAUCUAUAAAGUAAUGUUUGUCUUUUCCCUCUUGUCUCUUGCUAUUUUUUGUUGUGGUCUGUUGGCAGGUUUUCCAAAUCAAUUUUGAAAAGAAUGUAAGACAGGACUUAUUAAAAGAUAAUAUUAAAUAUCCCCCACUUUAGCUUUGAUAGCCUUUCAAAGAAAAAAAAAAAAAAAGGAAAAAAAAAAUGUAAGCAUAACUAGAUUCCUUUGCUUGGUACCAAUUCUGCUUUCCUUGCCUGGGUCUUCUGAAAGAAGAAAUGACAGAAAAGUGUUACUUUUGCACCUAUUUCAGUGGCAUGAAAAUUUGACAUUGCCAUCAGACUGCAAAGAGAGAAAGAGAUACCACAAAUAUGUGUACCUCAGCAGCUGUCUCCCUUCUGGUUCUUCUCCUUGAAGAACUUAGUCUGUGUUGACAAGACAUUAAGUGUUACUAUAUGUUACAUAAAUAUAUGAUCUAGAAUGGAUAGGUUAAAUUAGUCAUGAACAAAUUAACUAGAAUCAAAUAAAUAGACCAGGGUAGAUUGAAUUAUUUAAAGAGAGAUUAGGUUAGGAGUACUGGAUUAGGUGGAAUGGAUAUCUCUAAGAACUAUGUUCAGGUAAUUUGAAGGACAUUCAACUGUUCUUGGUUAGCAAAAAGAAAUCCUUAACUCUGAGUCUCUAAGGUGGUAUAGCCAUGUUAAUGUUAAACACUAAUGAGAUCCUGUAAUACACAAAGGGGUGGCAUUUCCAUUAAGGGGGGGCUGUUAAAGAUGCUUUAGAUAAGUAAAAGCUUAUCUGAAAUACGGGUACUAUAAUUGUCAUUCAAAAAACAAAUUCAGACUGGAAAAAAUAAAGAGAAAAAUAAGUAUGGAUAUGAGGGAAAUUCUAAGUCCUGUUUAUAUAGAAGCUAGAAUUGGCUUUCAUUCACCGUAAUAGGUAAAGUACAUAUCAACCAGCAGCAAUAUCAACCUUUUAAAAAUACUUCUCUUAUAUAUGACAAUGACAGAGGCUUUCUUAGGGCAACUGAGAAACUCAGCCUAAUAUUCUUGAUAUAUUUAAUUGAAAAAACAGGCAUAUUUUUCCAUAGUGAUGAGAUAAUAGUCACAUAAUUUAGAAUAGACAUAUGCUGAAAUACAAUAAAAACUUGUUGGAGGAGGGAAUCAAGAUAUGGCCCAGGUUAAACAGAAGAUACUCAACACCUUGCAGAGCUAAACACGCUAUCGCAAUCUCUACCAUGGGUCAUAUCUGUGUUCUUUUCCUAACUCUUUUUUGUCAUGUUUUUUUCAGUUUUCUUUGUUGGCCAUUUUCAUCAGUCAUACUCCUAACAAAAAGAAUGGCAUUUUUUAUUUAUGUACUAUUUCUGAUUUUUUCCCUGGAGUUAAUUUCCUAGACUCAGAAAUGUUAAUGAAUUUUUCUAAUUAAGAAAAAUCAAACAAACCUGGCAGAAAUAAGGUCAAUAGAUAUGUUAUACCAUGA
Molecule: long non-coding RNA, 3488 nt
Organism: Oxyura jamaicensis (ruddy duck)
Lineage: Eukaryota; Metazoa; Chordata; Aves; Anseriformes; Anatidae
Exons: 4
Source: RefSeq, a predicted model, not a curated record